GACGAACGCUGGCGGCGCGCCUAACACAUGCAAGUCGAACGAGCGAGAGAGAGCUUGCUUUCUUGAGCGAGUGGCGAACGGGUGAGUAACGCGUGAGGAACCUGCCUCAAAGAGGGGGACAACAGUUGGAAACGACUGCUAAUACCGCAUAAGCCCACGGUGCCGCAUGGCACAGAGGGAAAAGGAGCAAUCCGCUUUGAGAUGGCCUCGCGUCCGAUUAGCUAGUUGGUGAGGUAACGGCCCACCAAGGCGACGAUCGGUAGCCGGACUGAGAGGUUGAACGGCCACAUUGGGACUGAGACACGGCCCAGACUCCUACGGGAGGCAGCAGUGGGGAAUAUUGCAAAAUGGGGGAAACCCUGAUGCAGCGACGCCGCGUGGAGGAAGAAGGUCUUCGGAUUGUAAACUCCUGUUGUUGGGGAAGAUAAUGACGGUACCCAACAAGGAAGUGACGGCUAACUACGUG
Molecule: ribosomal RNA, 466 nt
Filed under: uncultured bacterium
Lineage: Bacteria
Description: partial 16S ribosomal RNA
Rfam family: Bacterial small subunit ribosomal RNA
Source: RNAcentral